AACCUGGCAAAGGUAACUGCAAAAUCAUGAUUUGUCUUUACUUCUGCCACUUUUCUCUGCCAAAUGUGAAUGACAGUGCUGUGGUUGGUUGUGUUCCUUCCCUGGGGUCUGUAAAAGCCCACAUCUGAUUUGUGGAAAAACCCCAUAUUUUGGUUUCCUUCUUAAAUUAUUUUUCUUGCUGUCAGUAUGUGAACUCUGCUCUUUAAUGAUUCAGCCUGGAUGAACUUCCAUCAACAGUUAACAAGAUGAAGAAUGUAUUUUUCUUUAGAUAUGCUAACAGCAACAGUCAGAACUCUCAGUAAGAUUAGAUCCUGCGUGGAAGAACAUUUUUUCAGGGGGGAAGGGGGCUAUAGGUGCUUCUUACAGUGCUGGUAAUUUUGUCUCUGAUCCAGGGAUCCCUUUCACAGUUGUACUUCACCUGAAGUUAUCUGUGGAGACAAUAAAAAUGCAGAUUCCAAUCUCCCGGAGCAAAAAGUAAUGACAUUAUUCUGAAUUCUGAAAAUGCGAUUCAGCAGAGGUGGAAUACAGCAAGGAUGUACAAAAUCUGCCCCUGCUGUCAAUUAUCUAGCUACAGAAGUGAAUUUGAGUCUCUUAAACAUCUCAGGCCCUUGCUGUUGCUGUACUUCUCUUUGUUUCACUUUUGGUGCUGUUGGUAAGCAGCUCUUGUCUUGAGCAAGAGUCUGUAAUCCAUGAAACCAUCCAUUGGUGUCCUUGCUGGUGGGAAAUUCAUUGGCUUCCCCUUUAUGCAGAGUCAAAAGCACGACUGACAAAUCAGGUGGGCUCUGCUGGUGUGAAGCUGCUCUUUGAUCCUCGGGGGAACCUUCCGGGCUCCCACAGCGCGGAACUCGGAGCUCGCUGUCACCAAGCCUGCCCUUCUGCAGGCUGUCCCUGACGAUGGAAACGUGGAUUUUUCUGAGCUCUCCUGAUCGAUUCAGUGUCAGAUCAGUGUGGUCAGUGAGGUAUUGUGCACGCCUGGGGUGUUGUACACAGCCCCCCUCCUUUGCGUGGGAUUUCGUGGGCUGGGCACGGGGCUUGUGCAGUCCGUGGGAGCCCGGGCUGUGAGCAGAGGUGCUGCAGGUGGCUGUGGCUGUCCCGUGUGUGCCAGGGGACAGCAGGCCUGAGGGGACAGCAGAGAGCUGUUGGCAGAGGGCCAGCGUUGCCCAAACGGCUUUGCUGGCCUCCCCCAGCGUGCCAGUGCACAGCCGUCCCCACGGUCUGAGCUGAGCCACCCCCUGUGUCAGAGGGACAGGGAACACGAGGGGAGCAGAGCUGUGAGGUGUGAGCUGCAGUGCAGGCUGGGUGAUGCUGAGGCCUGAGACAGUACAGGCUGUUUCAGGAAUUUCAAUUUUGCCCUCCAGGGACGGAUGCCAGGGGCUCAGCAGCCUGAGCGCUGCACACUGCGGCGUUUGUGGUCAGGGGGCUCCCCUCCCAGGAGGACACGCUCUGUGCCUCUCUGAUAGGAGGCACCAGCUCUACCUUCUCCUUUGCCAGGUGAAGCCUCUCUGAAUUCCCAGCAGUGGCGUUGCUGAGUCAGGACCAGCCUUACUGCCAGAAAGGUGGGUGCAGCCCUGCCGUGUCACUUCCUGCUCCUGCUCUCGUGCCCUGCCCAGGGACAGGCCAGCCUGCUCCGUGCCCUGCCAGCGUCCAAGCUGCAUGUCCCAGCCUGCUGCUGCUGCAGUGCUGUGCAGAGCUGCUCAACAGGCCCGGGCUUGGGGAAGGAUUCCUCAUCGUGUGAAUGCUGCUGGUGCAGGGGGGCAGAAGGAAGGUGAGAUUUGGAGACCCUUGUACGGAAGCGUUGCACCCUCAGGUUCAGCCUCCAGAGAGGGUCAUGAGUCCUGUCUACCCUUCCUAAUCGUGAGGACACUCACUGUCUGUCCCCAUUUGUUGUCAUCACACAGUGCCUCAGCUCUGUCUCAACGAAUGAGCACUACCCUGGGAUGGCAAAAUGGCUUUUCAUGCCAGGUGAGGUAUAAGAUGCUGUCUCCUGUGUGCCUGGCUCUACCUGAGUGUCCCCUUGCACAGCUUGGGGGAGACAGGUGAGAGCAGCAAGAUGGUUCCUGUCCAAAGACGUGUCAUUUUGUGCAUGACAUCGUUAUAAAAUGGGGAAUGAGGGUAAAAACAAUGACAAGUGUGAGCAUCUUUGUCAUUAAUCUGUCACUGCUGAUGUUGCUGGCCAGGAAUGCCCAGCUCACAGGUGUUGCUGAGCUGGACAGCAGGUGCAGACUGAAAAAGGCAGGAGCACAGACUUUGGGGAGGUUGUCCUAGGCUUAGUUUAGGCUUUGUAAGGGCUCACCACCGCGGGCCCCUGGAUGACUCCUGUGGAGGCGCCGUGUCCUUUUGUCCUCCUUUGUCCUCGCAGGUGCACCUGCCAGUGUGGGCAGCCAGGUGGAACACGGUGGUGGUGACAACCUUGAGCUGUUUGGCCAGCCACGGUGACCCCAGGGAGGAGGUGAAGCAAGAAACCCAGGGCCAUGAGCUGUAGCAGUGCUUCAGGCUGCAUCCUCCAGCCUCCUCCUCUGACGGUGCAGCCCACCGGUAAAAAUAUCUCCUGCCCUGUGACCUGGCUCCUGUUUCUCCGCCACAAGGCACUGAAUCUCAUCCCGCUGCCUUAUUCUCCAGCUGACAUCCUCCCAGCGCAGCAGUCGAUGUCCAAACAGAAAGACUGUUUCCAGUCAGACUGUUCCCAGUGGCACAGGACAAACAAAUGGUUAAUAAACACAGAGAACAUGCUGAAGAAGUGCAGCACAGGAUCAGUAACUGCUUUAUGUGGGAGGCCCUUGUUGGAUUUCAGACUCAGUGUGACUCAGAAGCGGGCACUCCUGCUAACCAAGAAGACGGGUGAGCAGUGCCCAUGAUGAAGAGCCCAUUCUGUUGCCACAUUCAGCUCCUGCAGAGAAAUCUGGAAAGGGCAUGAUCUGGAAUAAUCUGCUGAUGAGAUGGGAAGGAGCAGCGGGAUCAGCCCUUUCAACAGAGCAGCAGCAAAUACAGCAUCUCCGGGAUUUACACCCCUGUGUGCCUGACGGCGUUUGUGGCUCCUUUUGGGGAGCCGUCCUGAGCCGAGGGGCUUUGACGGGCUGAAACAUGGACUGGGCACCCAGGUUUGUUACUGAUGGUGGAAACCAC
Long non-coding RNA from Myiozetetes cayanensis, 3123 nucleotides. RefSeq lists it as uncharacterized. NCBI's taxonomy places the organism in Eukaryota, Metazoa, Chordata, Aves, Passeriformes, Tyrannidae. The transcript has 6 exons. The record is from RefSeq and is a predicted model, not a curated record.